RNA transcript from Rhododendron vialii, 1607 nucleotides. It is a transcript of the gene named putative RING-H2 finger protein ATL21A, with no coding region annotated. The transcript is spliced from 4 exons. Lineage: Eukaryota; Viridiplantae; Streptophyta; Magnoliopsida; Ericales; Ericaceae. The record is from RefSeq and is a predicted model, not a curated record.
CAAACUCACUUACCCAAAUAGCAACUCCCCCAGCAAAAGAAAAUACCAACUUGCCAACCAAAAUGGACACCCAAAACCCCACCACAUCCUACCUCCUCUUCCUCUUUCUCUUCCUCCUACCCCUCACCACCGCAGAAACAUGCUCAACCACCACCUGCCGCCGCGGCGACCCCUUGGUCCGUUUCCCUUUCCGGUUACAAAACCUCCAGCCAAACUCAUGCGGCUAUCCCCAGCCGGGCUUCGCCUUAUCCUGCGACACCACAAACCAAACACUAAUCACCCUCCCAGACUCGGGACAAUUCUCCGUCCAAGGAAUAGACUACGGCACGCAAGAAAUCUGGAUCAACGAUCCGAACAACUGCCUCCCAGGCCGGCUUCUCUCCUUAAACCUCACCAGUUCUUCGUUCACCGCUGUUUACUACCAGGGCUUCAAGAUGUUUAAUUGCUCUAUGGACUAUAUCAAGUAUAGAUUGAAUCCGAUAGCGUGUUUGAGCGGGGAUUCCUACUCGGUUUUUGCUACUUCUUCGGAUAAGGUGAUUAGGAGAUUGGCGUCGGCGUCAACGUGUGUUGAGAUUGGGACGGUUGCUGUGCCGGUGGAGUGGCCGUUUUACGAGGCGGUCUUGUCGUCGGACCUUUCGGGGGAUUUGCGGCUGACUUGGGCCGAGCCACGGUGCGGGAGGUGUGAGUCGAGGGGCGGGUGGUGUGGGUUGAAGAGCAAUUCUGGCGUUGAUGUUGUCUGCACAAAUGCUCCUAAACGUGGACUCCCAAGGAGCGCUCGCUACGCCAUAACCGUGGGAGCCGGUGUGCCCAUGCUAUUGUUCUGUAUCGGGAUUUUGUGUUUCAUUUUUGGCAGGUUGAAGUCCUUUGGUAGGAGACGCGAUCCCAUAUCUGAGCUCAUGGCCUCUACAGUUGCUCCACAGCCCACCCUCGUUACAGGCCUCGACGGGCCUACAAUAAACUCGUUCCCUCAAGUAGUUCUCGGUGAGAGCCGGCGUCUGCCUAAGCCCGAUGACAGUACCUGCCCAAUAUGCUUGUCCGAGUACAGGCCCAGGGAAACGCUGAGGAGCAUACCCGAAUGCAGGCAUUGCUUCCAUGCUGAUUGCAUCGACGAAUGGCUUCGCUUGAAUGCUACUUGUCCGGUUUGUAGAAACUCUCCUGGCCGAUUGGCAACUGAAUAAACUAAAGUUGUACUCGGAAUCUGCAAAUUGAAAGGGGGUGGUGGACAGAUUGAGGUUUUAAAGCUGUUGCGGGAGGCAGCUGUUCGGGUCUUUGAUGUGAAUCGAUUGGGAUUUGUAAUCGAUAUUGGUGACUAGAACUUGGGCGGAAUUGGGGAGGUUGAGGAGAGUGGCGGAGGUGGUUGGAGAGCAAGAGAGGUCGAACCCGGGAUAGCCGCAGUGAGGUGGUUGGCUGUCCUUGAGGCGGAAAGGGAAGCGGAUCGUUGGACCGUGCUUGGAGCAUCAUGUUGUUGGAGUGCAAUCGCCUUGGGCUGUGGAAAGGCGUAGGAUAAAGAAGAAAAUACAGUAGUAGUAUAUGGACAUGUUCCUACUCCUAUAUAAAAUCUCUCUCUCUCUCUCUCUCUCUCUAAAUCCAAGAGUAAAGACUUCCAG